GCGCCCAUAGUUCAAUGGAUAGAACACUAGCCUCCGAAGCUAGCGAUGAAGGUUCAACCCCCUCUGGGCGUA
RNAcentral lists this transfer RNA (72 nucleotides) under Patescibacteria group bacterium. RNAcentral describes it as "tRNA-Arg". It matches the Rfam family "tRNA". Rfam says of the family: Transfer RNA (tRNA) molecules are approximately 80 nucleotides in length. Their secondary structure includes four short double-helical elements and three loops (D, anti-codon, and T loops). Further hydrogen bonds mediate the characteristic L-shaped molecular structure. tRNAs have two regions of fundamental functional importance: the anti-codon, which is responsible for specific mRNA codon recognition, and the 3' end, to which the tRNAs corresponding amino acid is attached (by aminoacyl-tRNA synthetases). tRNAs cope with the degeneracy of the genetic code in two manners: having more than one tRNA (with a specific anti-codon) for a particular amino acid; and 'wobble' base-pairing, i.e. permitting non-standard base-pairing at the 3rd anti-codon position. The record is from RNAcentral. RNAcentral also lists the same sequence under 1 other name.